Molecule: ribosomal RNA, 650 nt
Filed under: Acinetobacter radioresistens
Lineage: Bacteria; Pseudomonadati; Pseudomonadota; Gammaproteobacteria; Moraxellales; Moraxellaceae
Description: bacterial SSU rRNA
Rfam family: Bacterial small subunit ribosomal RNA
Source: RNAcentral
GGUAGCUUGCUACUGGAUUCAGCGGCGGACGGGUGAGUAAUGCUUAGGAAUCUGCCUAUUAGUGGGGGACAACGUUCCGAAAGGAGCGCUAAUACCGCAUACGUCCUACGGGAGAAAGCAGGGGACCUUUGGGCCUUGCGCUAAUAGAUGAGCCUAAGUCGGAUUAGCUAGUUGGUAGGGUAAAGGCCUACCAAGGCGACGAUCUGUAGCGGGUCUGAGAGGAUGAUCCGCCACACUGGGACUGAGACACGGCCCAGACUCCUACGGGAGGCAGCAGUGGGGAAUAUUGGACAAUGGGGGGAACCCUGAUCCAGCCAUGCCGCGUGUGUGAAGAAGGCCUUUUGGUUGUAAAGCACUUUAAGCGAGGAGGAGGCUACCUAGAUUAAUACUUUAGGAUAGUGGACGUUACUCGCAGAAUAAGCACCGGCUAACUCUGUGCCAGCAGCCGCGGUAAUACAGAGGGUGCGAGCGUUAAUCGGAUUUACUGGGCGUAAAGCGUGCGUAGGUGGCCAAUUAAGUCAAAUGUGAAAUCCCCGAGCUUAACUUGGGAAUUGCAUUCGAUACUGGUUGGCUAGAGUAUGGGAGAGGAUGGUAGAAUUCCAGGUGUAGCGGUGAAAUGCGUAGAGAUCUGGAGGAAUACCGAUGGCGAA